This 500-nucleotide ribosomal RNA is filed under the name uncultured bacterium. Its description in RNAcentral is "partial 16S ribosomal RNA". It matches the Rfam family "Bacterial small subunit ribosomal RNA", at positions 30 to 523 of the family's 1533-position model. The record is from RNAcentral.
AUUGAACGCUGGCGGAAUGCUUUACACAUGCAAGUCGAACGAUGAACCUUAGCUUGCUAAGGGGAUUAGUGGCGAACGGGUGAGUAAUGUAUCGGAACGUAUCCAAUAAUGGGGGAUAACUAGUCGAAAGAUUAGCUAAUACCGCAUACGUCCUACGGGAGAAAGCUAGGGACCUUCGGGCCUGGCGUUAAUGGAGCGGCCGAUAUCUGAUUAGCUAGUUGGUGGGGUAAAGGCUCACCAAGGCGACGAUCAGUAGCUGGUCUGAGAGGACGACCAGCCACACUGGAACUGAGACACGGUCCAGACUCCUACGGAAGGCAGCAGUGGGGAAUUUUGGACAAUGGGCGAAAGCCUGAUCCAGCCAUUCCGCGUGAGUGAAGAAGGCCUUCGGGUUGUAAAGCUCUUUCGCAAGGGAAGAAAACUUAAGCUCUAACAUAGCUUGAGGUUGACGGUACCUUGAUAAGAAGCACCGGCUAACUACGUGCCAGCAGCCGCCGUAA